UCAGUCUCUAGGGCUGUGUCCUGCUCUGGAAUCCUCAGCAAGCUAAGGAUGUGGACCUGUCAGAGUGGGUCUGAAGAAUGCCACAAAAAUGAUCCAAGGCUGUGCAGCAGAACCACACUUCCCACCCUGAGAGCGAGGACUGGGCAAGAAACACAUAAACCUGGUGCCUUCAUGUCUCAUCAAGAAAACCCAGACUUGGAGCCUGCAGGCAGGACUCUGUGCCACCUAGAUAGUUUGGACACAGACUUGGACUCACCUACGCUCACACACACUCUGCCUUCCUUGCCUCAGCAGGACAAGGCUUCAGAGCUUUUCUUGCAUCCACAAACUUGAAUGAGACUCAGCAGGAAAAGGUGAGGAUGAUUCUAAUCUGCUUCCAAACUCAUCUUUGGGGGAGUGCUUGCCCACAGCUGUGGUUAACGGUGAUGAGGCUCGCUCUGGUCCCAGGAAGGAAGAUGCUCCAGGAACGUGAAGUAUUCUUGAACUCAGAACUGUACUUUGCCAUCCAUGUGUAAUCUUGGUUUCAGAGCCUGCAGAGAGAUGGAGCUUGUGUGUAUGUUCUGGCCUGGAAAACCUUCUAUGUCUGUUGAUGUGCUCGGAGAAAUUCACAGGCAUCAGGGAAAAUCCUUUCGGCUCUAGUGGAACGAUAACAACUGUAGGGUUGGUUUGAACUCUCUGGCAAGGAACGAGUUGAGAAGUGAAGAGCCUGCGAGUGUGAUUCUCUGCUGAAUAUAGAGCAACGUCUAAGAAGGAGCUGGAAGCAAUUCAGAGCCUCAGCAGAGCUCGCUGAGGCCUAGGAGCUCGACUUGUAGCCCAGAGCUCAUAUCCAGUUCGUGUUCAGCAGGCUGUAAUGGAAAACAGCAGCCCCUGAUAAGUAACAAUGGCCACGUUAGCUCUGGGCUCCAACAAUAGGAAGGUUCACACAAGCUACUGCUCUGGCAAGCCCUGGCUCCCAGGGGCAUUGGCUAGGCAGCAGUUUCCCUGGCAGCAGAAGCAGAUCAUCUGAAAUGCUCGUUACGAGGAGGUGGAUGCAGGAGCGGUGAGGCGCUGCGAGAGCUAAAGGGUGGUCAGCAGUCCCCAGGACCCUACCUGCUGGCUAUGGGAGGGGAACAAAAGCAUGGCUCUGCUGCCACCAGCAACAACAGGGCACGGAGGGAGAAGACAAGACUGGUGGCAGCUCUGCAAGGCACUUCAGCUGGGUUAGAAUCCAGACUUCUAUGGGGGAUACCUGCCCAGAGAUAGAGAGGUGCCUUGCUAACCUGCUGACGUGGCAGGUGUACAGGUGAGCCUUGUGGAACUGGAGAGGUGCAGGCCACCAGACCUAAUCCACAGCUCUGCACAGCCCAGGUGAAGUCAUGCAGUGCCUCCUGCAUCGAUCCCAUGCCUUGCUGUUGGGAUCCCUC
Long non-coding RNA from Pogoniulus pusillus (Red-fronted tinkerbird), 1403 nucleotides. RefSeq lists it as uncharacterized. The transcript is spliced from 4 exons. Lineage: Eukaryota; Metazoa; Chordata; Aves; Piciformes; Lybiidae. The record is from RefSeq and is a predicted model, not a curated record.